This 332-nucleotide ribosomal RNA is filed under the name uncultured bacterium. RNAcentral describes it as "bacterial SSU rRNA". It matches the Rfam family "Bacterial small subunit ribosomal RNA", at positions 568 to 898 of the family's 1533-position model. The record is from RNAcentral.
CGUGUAGGCGGCCAAACAGGUCAGCUGUGAAAACUCGAGGCUCAACCUCGAGACGUCGGUUGAAACCGUUUGGCUAGAGUCCGGAAGAGGAGAGUGGAAUUCCCGGUGUAGCGGUGAAAUGCGCAGAUAUCGGGAAGAACACCCGUGGCGAAGGCGGCUCUCUGGGACGGUACUGACGCUGAGACGCGAAAGCGUGGGGAGCGAACAGGAUUAGAUACCCUGGUAGUCCACGCCGUAAACGAUGGGCACUAGGUGUGGCGGGUAUCGACUCCCGCUGUGCCGAAGCUAACGCAUUAAGUGCCCCGCCUGGGGAGUACGGCCGCAAGGCUAAA